This 298-nucleotide ribosomal RNA is filed under the name Amblyomma nodosum. RNAcentral's name for it is "partial large subunit ribosomal RNA". Lineage: Eukaryota; Metazoa; Arthropoda; Arachnida; Ixodida; Ixodidae. The record is from RNAcentral.
CGGGUCUGCUCAAUUGAUUUUUUAAAUUGCUGUGGUAUUUUGACUAUACAAAGGUAUUGAAAUAAGACUUUAAUUGAGUGCUAAGAGAAUGGAAAUACAGAAAAAUUCUUUCUUGAAUUCAAAAAUUGAAGUUAUUUUUAUAUGUGAAGAAACAAUAAUGAAAAUUAUUGACAAGAAGACCCUAAGAAUUUUUUUAAUUUAAUUAAAAAAUUUUUUAAUUAAAUUCUUUAAUUGGGGCGAUUAAUAAAAAUUAAAAACUUUGUUUUUUAAAAAAGAACCAAUAAUAGGACCCUUGUUC